CACGCACUCGAAGAGGUUCUGAAUAAAUGGUCCAGAUGCCAGCCCCAGCUAAGCACCCAGCGGACAGCCAGCAUCAGCCAUCAUACGUGUGAGCGAGGAAGCCUUGAAGGUGACUCCAGCCCCAGCCACAUGUGAGUGCAACCCCAGUGAGAACUGUCUCGCUGGCCCCAGUCAACCCCCAAGACUGUGAGAGUGCAUCUCACUUCCGACCAGCCCGAUUUUCAGGCACUCCAACGUCCUCAUGUGAGAUUAGCGGCCAUUGUAAUGGAUGACACAGAUCUAGAAGGCCGUGACACCAAGUUAUCCACGUAAUGGAACUUCAUUGUUGAUGCCUCGUCCAGUCCAUGACACUUCUAGGUUUCAUGCGCCCCGAUUGGAAGCCCUGAUUGGAAGCCCGCGAGGUCCAGUUCUUCAGAUAAUUGAAGCCCUGGGAAUGAAACCAGG
This 444-nucleotide long non-coding RNA is filed under the name Equus asinus (donkey). RNAcentral describes it as "lncRNA (ENSEASG00005026045.1)". The record is from RNAcentral. Lineage: Eukaryota; Metazoa; Chordata; Mammalia; Perissodactyla; Equidae.